Molecule: unclassified non-coding RNA, 173 nt
Filed under: Coriandrum tordylium
Lineage: Eukaryota; Viridiplantae; Streptophyta; Magnoliopsida; Apiales; Apiaceae
Description: psbA-trnH intergenic spacer
Source: RNAcentral
GGCCGGGUUUUAGUAUAUACUAGUUUUUUGAAAUAAAAAAAGCAAUACCACCCUCUUGAUAGAACAAGAGGGUGGUAUUGCUUUUUUUUAUAUUUCAGACUGUUUUAUAUAAACAAAUAUUUUUGAAUGAUCAAAAAGGAAUCCUUUGAAAUAAAAAUAAAUAAAAUUGGCGG